RNAcentral lists this microRNA (23 nucleotides) under Echinops telfairi (small Madagascar hedgehog). RNAcentral describes it as "Ete-Mir-217-v2_5p (mature (guide))". Lineage: Eukaryota; Metazoa; Chordata; Mammalia; Afrosoricida; Tenrecidae. The record is from RNAcentral.
GUACUGCAUCAGGAACUGAUCGG